RNAcentral lists this ribosomal RNA (439 nucleotides) under uncultured bacterium. RNAcentral describes it as "bacterial SSU rRNA". It matches the Rfam family "Bacterial small subunit ribosomal RNA", at positions 954 to 1392 of the family's 1533-position model. The record is from RNAcentral.
GCACAACGCGAAGAACCUUACCUAGGCUUGACAUGCAUCUCUAAGCACGUGAAAGCGUGUGACCCUUCGGGGAAUUUGCACAGGUGCUGCAUGGCCGUCGUCAGCUCGUGUCGUGAGAUGUUGGGUUAAGUCCCGCAACGAGCGCAACCCUUGUGACUAGUUGCCAGCACGUUAUGGUGGGAACUCUAGUCAGACUGCCCAGAUCAACUGGGGAGGAAGGUGGGGACGACGUCAGGUCAGUAUGGCCCUUACGCCUAGGGCUGCACACGUACUACAAUGCCCAGCACAAUGAGAACCGAGACCGCGAGGUGGAGGAAAUCUAAAAAACUGGGCCCAGUUCGGAUUGGAGGCUGCAACUCGCCUCCAUGAAGUUGGAAUCGCUAGUAAUGGCGCAUCAUCUACGGCGCCGUGAAUACGUUCCCGGGUCUUGUACACACCG